UGGGGAAUAUUGCACAAUGGGCGGAAGCCUGAUGCAGCGAUGCCGCGUGGGGGAUGAAGGCCUUCGGGUUGUAAACUCCUUUCGACAGGGACGAAGCGUAAGUGACGGUACCUGUAUAAGAAGCACCGGCUAACUACGUGCCAGCAGCCGCGGUAAUACGUAGGGUGCGAGCGUUGUCCGGAAUUACUGGGCGUAAAGAGCUCGUAGGUGGUUUGUCGCGUCGUCUGUGAAAUUCCGGGGCUUAACUCCGGGCGUGCAGGCGAUACGGGCUGACUUGAGUGCUGUAGGGGAGACUGGAAUUCCUGGUGUAGCGGUGAAAUGCGCAGAUAUCAGGAGGAAUACCGAUGGCGAAGGCAGGUCUCUGGGCAGUAACUGACGCUGAGGAGCGAAAGCAUGGGUAGCGAACAGGAUUAGAUACCCUGGUAGUCCAUGCCGUAAACGGUGGGCGCUAGGUGUAGGGGGCUUCCACGUCCUCUGUGCCGUAGCUAACGCAUUAAGCGCCCCGCCUGGGGAGUACGGCCGCAAGGCUA
Molecule: ribosomal RNA, 530 nt
Filed under: uncultured bacterium
Lineage: Bacteria
Description: bacterial SSU rRNA
Rfam family: Bacterial small subunit ribosomal RNA
Source: RNAcentral